Long non-coding RNA from Arachis stenosperma, 973 nucleotides. RefSeq lists it as uncharacterized. Lineage: Eukaryota; Viridiplantae; Streptophyta; Magnoliopsida; Fabales; Fabaceae. The transcript has 7 exons. The record is from RefSeq and is a predicted model, not a curated record.
ACAUAAAUAAGAUACCACUAUGUCUCUUUUGGUUUCCUUCUGGCCCUUUUUAAUGUAGCAAUAACUUAUUUUUACAUCUUGUAAGGACAUGUGCCAUGUGGAAAUCAUCAUAAAGUCGAUGAUGAUGCAUCGAAACUUUUAUGGCUAUAUUAUAAUUUCUCAUGUGUUGAUAGGCUCCUUGCUCGUGAGGGGAUAAAUGCAGAGCAACUUGCAAGGGACCUGAAGUCAUUUGAAUUGAAGAGACGUCAGUUCCAAUCAGUUGAAUGGAUCAAUUCCUAGCAACAAGCUUUCCAACAACCUCACAACCAUUGAUUUAUCGAACAACAAGCUUACUGGAACUAUUCCAUCCUACUUUUCUAGUCUUCCUGUUCUUCAAAGAUUGUCACUUGAAAACAAUUUAUUGAAAGGGAGUUGCAAAACAAUAGCCUUACAAGCAUAUCAGGCACUACUGAUAUUCCUCCAAAUGUCACACUCUCGCUCAAUGGAAAUCCUCUCUGCUCAAAUAACAAGUCCUUGGUUCAAUUCUGUGGAUCUGAGACUGCUGACAAUAACACAAAUGGCAUUGUUUCAACAAAUUCCAGCUCAUGCGUGCCCUCCUCCUUUCGAAUAUUCCUUGGACUGUUUCUGUGCAGCACCAUUGCUUGCCGGUUAUCGGCUGAAAAGUCCUGGAUUUUUGGAUUUUCGACCAUAUCGCUAUCCUACCAUUUUUCCAAUUCCAAUAGGGGGAUCACAAAAAAUUGUUAAAAAGGACAAGAGAGAGUUUCUUGUGUUGAAGAGUUGCUUGUGAAGUAAUUGCUGAAGUUGAAUACUAUUUGAGGUUGAAGGUGAAGCGAAGUUGCGGAGAAAAGUUGAGGAUUAAGUUACAAGUACAAUUGUUAGCUUUACAUAUUUGGAUUAAUUUACAAUUUUUUGAAUUUACAUUUUAUGGAUUAUGACUAUGUAAAAUUUGUCGAAUUCAACUUUUGAAAUACAU